RNAcentral lists this unclassified non-coding RNA (336 nucleotides) under soil metagenome. Its description in RNAcentral is "partial contains 5.8S ribosomal RNA, internal transcribed spacer 2, and large subunit ribosomal RNA". The stretch from base 1 to 120 matches the Rfam family "5.8S ribosomal RNA", at positions 35 to 154 of the family's 154-position model. The record is from RNAcentral.
GAUGAAGAACGCAGUGAAAUGCGAUAAGUAAUGUGAAUUGCAGAAUUCAGUGAAUCAUCGAAUCUUUGAACGCACAUUGCGCCCGCCAGUAUUCUGGCGGGCAUGCCUGUUCGAGCGUCAUUUCAACCAUCAAGCCCCAGGCUUGUGUUGGGGACCUGCGGCUGCCGCAGGCCCUGAAAACCAGUGGCGGGCUCGCUGUCACACCGGGCGUAGUAGAUUUUAUCUCGCUCAGGGCGUGCUGCGGGUUCCGGCCGUUAAAAAGCCUUUUUUACCCAAGGUUGACCUCGGAUCAGGUAGGAAGACCCGCUGAACUUAAGCAUAUUAAUAAGCGGAGGA